This 783-nucleotide ribosomal RNA is filed under the name Leptodactylus pentadactylus (smoky jungle frog). Its description in RNAcentral is "partial 12S ribosomal RNA". It matches the Rfam family "Bacterial small subunit ribosomal RNA", at positions 12 to 1355 of the family's 1533-position model. Lineage: Eukaryota; Metazoa; Chordata; Amphibia; Anura; Leptodactylidae. The record is from RNAcentral.
UUUGGUCCUGACCUUAAAGUCAAUUAUUACUUAUCUUACACAUGCAAGUUUCCGCACCCCUGUGAAAACACCCUUUAACCCCUUUAAGGGGCAAGGAGUUGGUAUCAGGCACAAAUUUUAGCCCAAGACACCUAGCUAAGCCACACCCACAAGGGAAUUCAGCAGUGAUUAACAUUGAACAUAAGCGACAGCUUGAUUCAGUCAAAGUAAAGAGGGCCGGCUAAUCUGGUGCCAGCCGCCGCGGUUACACCACGUGGCUCAAAUUGACUAAGCUCGGCGUAAAGCGUGAUUUAAGGAAAUACUUAUUGGUGCUAAAAAUAUACUAAGCUGUGACACGCUUGUACUUAAGAAAACCAAAAACGAAAGAUACACCAACCUGACCCGCUUGAACUCACGACAGCUAGGAAACAAACUGGGAUUAGAUACCCCACUAUGCCUAGCCGUAAACUUUAACUUACAUUUUUCUCGCCAGGGAACUACGAGCUAAGCUUAAAACCCAAAGGACUUGACGGUACCCCAAAUCCAUCUAGAGGAGCCUGUCCUAUAAUCGAUAACCCCCGCUCAACCUCACCACUUCUUGAAAAUCAGCCUGUAUACCUCCGUCGUCAGCUUACCGCGUGAGCGCCCCAAGUGAGCUUAAUGCCCAUACACCAACACGUCAGGUCAAGGUGCAGCUAAUGAAAUGGGAAGAGAUGGGCUACACUCUCUAUUUAUAGAAUAAACGAAAGACCACAUAUGAAACCUGGUCAGAAGGAGGAUUUAGCAGUAAAAAGAAAGCAGAGU